UGACUGUAUGCUUGAAGGAAUAGUUCUCUUUCUCUUUUCUACACCCACCAAACAAAGUUUAGACUUAAAAGCCAAGGAGCACAAAACAUAAAAUAUGAAUCUAUUCAUUUACAAAUAUAAAUCCUAUUCACAGUACAUCAUCAUACACUACCAUUACCAAAUCCAUUUUCUUCUGCAUAGCAUCAUGGCAUUGUCUGUCAUAAGAACAAAAGGAGGCCUAGUUAAGCCAGGCAAGGAGACUCCCUUGACCACACUAGACUUAUCAGUGAUUGAUAGGUUACCUGUUCUAAGAUGCAACGCUAGAACCUUGCAUGUCUUCAAACACGGUC
This 329-nucleotide long non-coding RNA is filed under the name Phaseolus vulgaris (common bean). RNAcentral's name for it is "long non-coding RNA (PVUL_LNC005258)". Lineage: Eukaryota; Viridiplantae; Streptophyta; Magnoliopsida; Fabales; Fabaceae. The record is from RNAcentral.